AACGAACGCUGGCGGCAGGCUUAACACAUGCAAGUCGAGCGCCUCGCAAGAGGAGCGGCAGACGGGUGAGUAACGCGUGGGAACGUACCCUUAUCUUCGGAAUAGCUCUGGGAAACUGGAAGUAAUACCGAAUGUGCCCUUAGGGGGAAAGAUUUAUCGGAUAAGGAUCGGCCCGCGUUGGAUUAGCUAGUUGGUGGGGUAAAGGCCUACCAAGGCGACGAUCCAUAGCUGGUCUGAGAGGAUGAUCAGCCACAUUGGGACUGAGACACGGCCCAAACUCCUACGGGAAGCAGCAGUGGGGAAUAUUGGACAAUGGGCGCAAGCCUGAUCCAGCCAUGCCGCGUGAGUGAUGAAGGCCUUAGGGUUGUAAAGCUCUUUCACCGGAGAAGAUAAUGACGGUAUCCGGAGAAGAAGCCCCGGCUAACUUCGUG
This 431-nucleotide ribosomal RNA is filed under the name uncultured bacterium. RNAcentral describes it as "partial 16S ribosomal RNA". It matches the Rfam family "Bacterial small subunit ribosomal RNA", at positions 29 to 507 of the family's 1533-position model. The record is from RNAcentral.